Molecule: ribosomal RNA, 254 nt
Filed under: uncultured bacterium
Lineage: Bacteria
Description: partial 16S ribosomal RNA
Rfam family: Bacterial small subunit ribosomal RNA
Source: RNAcentral
UACGGAGGGGGCAAGCGUUGUUCGGAAUUACUGGGCGUAAAGGGCGCGCAGGCGGCUGCUCAAGUCAGGCGUGAAAGGCCUGGGCUCAACCCGGGAAUUGCGCUUGAGACUGGGCUGGCUUGAGUGCGGGAGAGGGAUGCGGAAUUCCAGGUGUAGCGGUGAAAUGCGUAGAUAUCUGGAGGAAUACCGGUGGCGAAGGCGGCAUCCUGGACCGACAUUGACGCUGAGGAGCGAAAGCUAGGGGAGCAAACGGG